RNAcentral lists this small RNA (360 nucleotides) under Arabidopsis thaliana (thale cress). Its description in RNAcentral is "ATSL256260". The record is from RNAcentral. Lineage: Eukaryota; Viridiplantae; Streptophyta; Magnoliopsida; Brassicales; Brassicaceae.
AUACAAAUAAAAUGAAAUAUAACAUAUUUAUUUUUCAGUUCGUCACAGUAAUCUUCCCUUGUCUCUGCGUCUGUACCCUUUAUUUUUAGGGUAAUAUUAGUAGAUAACCAAAUAAAACAUACAAAUUAAGAAAUUAGCAGAGAGAAAGUUUUUUGUUACAAAAUAACCAUGAACCCACGUUGUCGGAAGAAAGGAAAUAAUAAAGCUACCCUUCAUUUGUUGUAAGAUGAACAGUAAACGAAACACAUCCGUGUAAUUUUUUAAAAUAGCAUGUAACAUUAAAAUUUCACAUGUUAUAUUUAGUUUAAAAACAUGAUAUUUCAAAAAACGUUAUGAAUUUUUAAGAAAAAACAUUAUUAU